Molecule: ribosomal RNA, 245 nt
Filed under: Deltaproteobacteria bacterium
Lineage: Bacteria; Pseudomonadati; Myxococcota; Myxococcia
Description: partial 23S ribosomal RNA
Rfam family: Bacterial large subunit ribosomal RNA
Source: RNAcentral
CCGGAAUGGACGAACCAAUGGUGUUCCAGUUGUCGCGCCAGCGGCAUUGCUGGGUAGCUAAGUUCGGAAUGGAUAACCGCUGAAAGCAUCUAAGCGGGAAGCCAACCUCGAGAUAAGAUAUCCCUUAAAUAUGGAAACAUAUUUAACUGAAGACCCCUUGAAGACGACAAGGUUGAUAGGCCGGGUGUGUAAGCACAGUAAUGUGUUCAGCUUACCGGUACUAAUCGGUCGUGCGGCUUGGCCAU